GGAAAAUUUUGGAUUCAAUAUGAAGAAUAAAAACGAAUAAACGAAUGAUAAGUGAACUAAUAAUCGAAAAGGAUUUUAAAAUUCAGAUUUAAUUACGUUGGGAAAUUAACGUACGUUACACGUCAAGACUUUAAAGAGCGUUGACUUGUCUUCUGUCUUUUCUUAUUCGAGGGGACGAUCUUCUUGUCAUAUCGGAAGAGUCUUUGAUGAAUUGAUGCGCGAUGUAUAUAAAAAAGGGGGAACCACACCCGUCUCUCUAGGUUAUGAAAAUCGCCCGAGGCUGUGGUUUUUAUUUGGCAUUGAUCGGUGGUUUUUAAAGAACUAUUUUCUCAAAAGAUGGUGGCUGAUUGGUCCAUGUGUGUUUUUACUGUGGUUCUGCUCGACUUCUCGGCUUUACAGAAAAGCACUAUUGUGUUUUCCCAUUUCGUAUAAUCAUCUGUACACAACUAUGAAACCGAUUCGAGCCAACUCGAUACAAUAAUUCCCUAUUCUUCGAAGAAAUCUGCAGUGAACAAUUUCUUCUCUAACGAGAUUCUAGAAACGAUAUUUUUCACUUAAAAAAUUAUUAGAUAAGGAAGUUGUCCAGAUAAAGUUCAUAUGGUAAGCGAUAUCUGUUGAUGUUUUAUUCUGGUUGGAAUGGUCUCUUCUGAUGACGUCAUCGCUUCUACACUAAAAAACCGACCUCACGCUCGACCUUUGAUGCCGUAGAUGCUACGAACUGGAAUGUAAAGACCAUAAAUAUCAACUUUAAACGGUUGGAUAACCGUCUGGAUAUUUCUGAUUUCGUUUUGCAUUAUCUGAAAGUUUAUUUUUUUAAAUCCGACUAGAUUUAAAUUACACUAUUUUGACAUAAUUAUUUUUUUAAAUAAGUAUUUA
This 876-nucleotide long non-coding RNA is filed under the name Androctonus crassicauda. Lineage: Eukaryota; Metazoa; Arthropoda; Arachnida; Scorpiones; Buthidae. The record is from RNAcentral.